CCUACGGGAGGCAGCAGUGAGGGAUAUUGGUCAAUGGGGGAAACCCUGAACCAGCAACGCCGCGUGAGGGAAGACGGUUUUCGGAUUGUAAACCUCUGUCCUCUGUGACGAUAAUGACGGUAGUAGAGGAGGAAGCUCCGGCUAAUUACGUGCCAGCAGCCGCGGUAAUAAGUAGGGAGCAAGCGUUGUCCGGAUUUACUGGUGGGAAGGGGUGCGUAGGCGGCCCUGUAAGUCGGAAGUGAAAUCCAAGGGCUUAACCCAGGAACUGCUUUUGAAACUGUAGGGCUUGAGUGAAGUAGAGGCAGGCGGAAUUCCCGGUGUAGCGGUGGAAUGCGUAGAGAUCGGGAGGAACACCAGUGGCGAAGGCGACCUGCUGGGCUUUAACUGACGCUGAGGCACGAAAGUGUGGGUAGCAAACAGGAUUAGAUACCCUAGUAGUC
Molecule: ribosomal RNA, 440 nt
Filed under: uncultured bacterium
Lineage: Bacteria
Description: partial 16S ribosomal RNA
Rfam family: Bacterial small subunit ribosomal RNA
Source: RNAcentral